AUUGAACGCUGGCGGUAGGCUUAACACAUGCAAGUCGUGCGAGAAAGUAUCUUCGGAUAUGAGUAGAGCGGCGGACGGGUGAGUAACGCGUAGGAAUCUACCUAGUAGAAGGGGAUAGCCCGGGGAAACCCGGAUUAAUACCGUAUACCUCCUUCGGGAGAAAGAAGGCCUCUCUUUGAAGCUUUCGCUAUUAGAUGAGCCUGCGUAAGAUUAGCUUGUUGGUGAGGUAAAGGCUCACCAAGGCGACGAUCUUUAGCUGGUCUGAGAGGACGAUCAGCCACAUUGGGACUGAGACACGGCCCAGACUCCUACGGGAGGCAGCAGUGGGGAAUAUUGGACAAUGGGCGCAAGCCUGAUCCAGCCAUACCGCGUGUGUGGAGAAGGCCUUCGGGUUGUAAAGCACUUUAAGCAGGGAGAAAAAGUUAUAAGUUAAUACCUUAUAACCGUGAUGUUACCUGCAGAAUAAGCACCGGCUAAUUCCGUG
Molecule: ribosomal RNA, 484 nt
Filed under: uncultured bacterium
Lineage: Bacteria
Description: bacterial SSU rRNA
Rfam family: Bacterial small subunit ribosomal RNA
Source: RNAcentral